CUCCACAUGUAUAAUCCAAAGUUCUCGGAAUGAUAAACUGAAAAAUAAGAUUGUUGACAAAAAUAGAGAAAUAAGUUUGAGUUACAGAAAAAUUCAAGCAAGGAAAAAAUGAUAGAAAGUAAAAUAGCAAAUAACUUUUUAUCUGCUUCCCCAAAAAAUACUUUGUAAUCAGAGAGAAGAACAACACUACAAGAUUGUAAUCAAAGCAAAACUUGGAUGCGUCAAAAAUAUUUUUUGAAAAAAAAACAUAGGUAGAUGAAGAAUAAAGAAAGAAAUUUUCCGGCAAGGAUUUUGAAAAUAAUUAGCUUCUAGGCGAAGAAGA
This 322-nucleotide long non-coding RNA is filed under the name Arabidopsis lyrata. RNAcentral's name for it is "long non-coding RNA (ALYR_LNC001895)". The record is from RNAcentral. Lineage: Eukaryota; Viridiplantae; Streptophyta; Magnoliopsida; Brassicales; Brassicaceae.